GGGGUCAGUAGGUUGGUCGUGCCACCGGUACGUACUGGUCUCACUGAUUCCUCCUUCCUGAAGAACCGUAAUGCCAUUAAUUUGGUGUUGCGGGGAAACAGGACUGUUACUUUGAAAAAAUUAGAGUGUUUAAAGCAAGCUAACGCUUGAAUACAUUAGCUUGGAAUAAUGAAAUAGGACGAUCGAUCCUAUUUUGUUGGUUUCUAGGAUUGACGUA
RNAcentral lists this ribosomal RNA (217 nucleotides) under Glomeromycotina sp. RNAcentral's name for it is "partial small subunit ribosomal RNA". The stretch from base 41 to 217 matches the Rfam family "Eukaryotic small subunit ribosomal RNA", at positions 686 to 864 of the family's 1831-position model. Lineage: Eukaryota; Fungi; Glomeromycota. The record is from RNAcentral.